UCUGCCCCUCUAGCUCAUUCUUUUGAUGCAUUCAUUCAACUUAGAACUUUCCUUUGGCACUUUCAGUCUUGUACAAAAGUUGCUGCAGACUUCGUUUCUCCGGAAAAUUUACAUGAGUGCCUUCGAUUGACUGAGGAGUUUAGGAGACUUCCAAAGAACCACAAGGCCAGAGAAGACAAGCUAGAGGUAAAGAAAAUGAUUGUUCAUGGCGUGAACCAAGCAGUUCAGGAACUUGAACAGUUGACAAAUACCAGUAUGAAAACAUGUGGAUUCAUUUGGGAGUAACGGCAUGCAGAUGAAAGAAUUGAUGGUGUUGAUCUAUUUGAAUUGAUACAAUGCUUCCUUGGAUUUUGGACAUUUGCGGGAGAGAAAGUUCAGAGAUAUCUGUAGAUAAAAGACGGAAUUAGUAACAGUAUUCGCUUUUUCACAUACUUUACGCAAAAAGAUAAAUAAUAAAGAAGGCUUUUGGUUUCAUCA
Coffea arabica (coffee) is the source of this 477-nucleotide non-coding RNA. The record is from RefSeq and is a predicted model, not a curated record. Lineage: Eukaryota; Viridiplantae; Streptophyta; Magnoliopsida; Gentianales; Rubiaceae.